GCCGGGAUGGUGGAACUGGUCAGACACAGGGCGCUUAAAACGCCCUGGGGGCAACCCCGUGCAGGUUCGAGUCCUGCUCCCGGCACCA
This 88-nucleotide transfer RNA is filed under the name Candidatus Eiseniibacteriota bacterium. Its description in RNAcentral is "Candidatus Eisenbacteria bacterium tRNA-Leu". It matches the Rfam family "tRNA". From Rfam's summary of the family: Transfer RNA (tRNA) molecules are approximately 80 nucleotides in length. The record is from RNAcentral. Lineage: Bacteria; Candidatus Eiseniibacteriota. RNAcentral also lists the same sequence under 1 other name.